AACGAACGCUGGCGGCAUGCCUAACACAUGCAAGUCGAACGAUACCUUCGGGUCUAGUGGCGCACGGGUGCGUAACGCGUGGGAACCUGCCCUUAGGUUCGGAAUAACUCCCCGCAAGGGGUGCUAAUACCGGAUAAUGUCUUCGGACCAAAGAUUUAUCGCCUUUGGAUGGGCCCGCGUUGGAUUAGCUAGUUGGUAGGGUAAAAGCCUACCAAGGCGACGAUCCAUAGCUGGUCUGAGAGGAUGAUCAGCCACACUGGGACUGAGACACGGCCCAGACUCCUACGGGAGGCAGCAGUGGGGAAUAUUGGACAAUGGGCGAAAGCCUGAUCCAGCAAUGCCGCGUGAGUGAUGAAGGCCUUAGGGUUGUAAAGCUCUUUUACCCGGGAUGAUAAUGACAGUACAGGGAGAAUAAGCUCCGGCUAACUCCGU
Molecule: ribosomal RNA, 432 nt
Filed under: uncultured bacterium
Lineage: Bacteria
Description: partial 16S ribosomal RNA
Rfam family: Bacterial small subunit ribosomal RNA
Source: RNAcentral